This 219-nucleotide small RNA is filed under the name Capsella bursa-pastoris (shepherd's purse). RNAcentral describes it as "pre-miRNA". The record is from RNAcentral. Lineage: Eukaryota; Viridiplantae; Streptophyta; Magnoliopsida; Brassicales; Brassicaceae. RNAcentral also lists the same sequence under 1 other name.
GUUAGUACCAUAAGUGAAAAAGUUACUUUAAAAUUUUGGUCUACACAAAAUUGUUAUGGGUUUCAUGUUAUGUUUCAGAUUUUAAAAACCAAUGGUUUCAGAUUUUGCGAAUAACUAAUCAAAACUUAAAGGAGGUUGAUAUAUUACCUUUUAAAUCAUGUUCACGGUAAAAUAUAUCUGCUUUCUUUUAGCUUUGAUUCGUUAUUGAAAACACUGAUA